Molecule: long non-coding RNA, 1963 nt
Filed under: Anas platyrhynchos platyrhynchos (common mallard)
Lineage: Eukaryota; Metazoa; Chordata; Aves; Anseriformes; Anatidae
Description: lncRNA (ENSAPLG00000021256.1)
Source: RNAcentral
AAGCAGGCAAAAGUUAAAACAACAGCCAUUCACUAAAAUCUAUUGAUUUAGAUAUCAUGAUUGUCCUUGGUAUAGGAGAGGUUGAAUCUAGCUGGAGCUUCCUUUGAAAUCAUGAUCAGGAAUAAAACCCAGCACAGGUCUAUGAGUGGGCUUGAAUAACAUUUAUGUCAGGAAUCUAUUUUGUCUGCCCCCUUCCCUUAAAAAAAAAAAAAAAAAAAAAAAAGGCUUUUCAUAGCUUGUUCACACUGCUCCCAAGCUUUUCCAGCCAAACAGGUGUUGAGGUUAAUUGGGUAAGUAGCCUGAAGCUUCCAGUUUUCAAACAAACUUUAAGUAAAUAAAUAACCCCAAGUGGACCCAGAAGGAUAGCCUUGCACAAAGCCUCAAAGCUGUGUGUUACAGCACUCGAGGUUCCCUCUCUUAUCUCUUUUGCAGACCCAGGCCUUUCAGAAAGUAGGGCCGUCAGCCUUUGUGGCUAAGGCAGGGUGCCUUAAUUGCUUCCUAUGCUUUUCGCAGCUGUCAGCCCCUAAUGGGGUCGGGGUCGGCAGGGGAGGGGCACUCGAAGGCUUUGUGUCCUUUCACCACCUGAAGCACUCCUGGCUGCAGAGUAAGAUUGUCCCACAUUUGCCAGACCUCCAGGUCCCCAAAAUGUGGCCUGUGCCUGCUCACCUUGUCCUGGUGCAGGAGAAAACUCUUUAUCAAUCUGCUAAAAAAGGUACAGGAACCUUUUCAACACUUAGAAACUAGACAAGAGCUGAAGAAAACACACAUAAUCACAAUAAGAGAGACUGAAUAUGCCAGCUUCUUAAAAACUGCAAACCAGACCAAGAGAAGUAAUAUGGUAAUUAAAGCAAUGACUGCAAGAUGACAACUCAUACAACUGGAGCCAGGUGUGGAAAAGGGCCACAUGGGUCCCUCCGGUCCCUCCAAGGACUGUUGAAGACAGAAUGGGACAAGAAGAGAGGCGAUGGUCUCCUUGCUUCCCCUUGAGACCCAGUCCCACACGUUCAGGUGGUCCUGCAGUGGCAGUUGGUGGCAGCAGGAGAUGAAGCCUGGGGAGCAAGGCGUGAAGCCAGCCCUUUGACAGCAGCAGGCAGGAGCAGUUGUCUCCUCUCUCAAAGUCUAGUUUUUCAAGCACCAACUUUUGUAAUGUAGCAGUUUUGACCUGAAAAACACAUGAUCUCUUUUGUUGUGGUUUUGUGUGUGUGUUUUGUGUUUUUUUCUUUUUUCUCUCUCUCUUUUUUUUUUUUUUCCUCUUCUGGAAUUACAAAUGUGGGACAUGAAUUGCAAUAAGUGACCAGGCAAGCAGAGGAGGGGCUUAGCCAUACCUCACCUGGAAUCCACUCCAAUGCCCACUGAUGAGAGUAAUCUCAAUGGGCAGGCUCUUGACAGGACAUAAUUGCACUCCCAGCAGAGCUGGGCAGUCACAGAGCAUCUCCACUUGAGGCCAUUUACUAGCUAUUGUGAGAGUAUUUACUUAUUUUGAAUGUUUAUAAACUCUUGUUGGAACACAAGUCCUAUAUGGAUUCAUCUAAAUCCUGAUCUUUUUGAUCUGCAAAACCUUCAGUAAUUGAAAAAAAUCCAUUUCAUCUCUUGCUUCAGAACAUCAUGUAUAGUUUAUAACCUAGGAACCCAUGGCUCAGAUUUAAUGGUAAUCAUAUAACAUCUGUUUAAUUUUAAAAUUUAUAUGGAGGCUUUUUUGGAAAUCCCUUGGAGUUUUUUGACUUUCUGUCUUCUCUAUGCACACAGAGGAUGUAGAAAAUUAAUUUCCUGUGUAAAAAUACAAGAUGACAGAAGGUCCAAGGUUAAACCUAUUUACAAAGAAAAUCACUGCCAGUGUUUAGAAAAUUCUGCUUUUAUUUGAAAUAUUUGGAGGUGUACCUGGCUUCCCAUGUCCUCAUGGUAUUUAAGCAUAUAAGGCUUUCUGUCCAAUAAACCAUAGUGAAAAACCUCCUCUGUACUGAUU